Molecule: ribosomal RNA, 460 nt
Filed under: uncultured bacterium
Lineage: Bacteria
Description: partial 16S ribosomal RNA
Rfam family: Bacterial small subunit ribosomal RNA
Source: RNAcentral
CCUACGGGUGGCAGCAGUGAGGAAUAUUGGUCAAUGGGCGGGAGCCUGAACCAGCCAAGUCGCGUGAAGGAAGAAGGUACUUAGUAUUGUAAACUUCUUUUGUCGGGGAACAAAGGCGGAGACGCGUCUCCGGAUGAGUGUACCCGAAGAAGAAGCCCCGGCUAACUACGUGCCAGCAGCCGCGGUAAUACGUAGGGGGCAAGCGUUAUCCGGAUUUACUGGGUGUAAAGGGGGCGCAGACGGCGAUGCAAGCCAGGAGUGAAAGCCCGGGGCCCAACCCCGGGACUGCUCUUGGAACUGCGUGGCUGGAGUGCAGGAGGGGCAGGCGGAAUUCCUGGUGUAGCGGUGAAAUGCGUAGAUAUCAGGAGGAACACCGGUGGCGAAGGCGGCCUGCUGGACUGCAACUGACGUUGAGGCCCGAAAGCGUGGGGAGCAAACAGGAUUAGAUACCCUGGUAGUC